Molecule: ribosomal RNA, 501 nt
Filed under: uncultured Actinomycetes bacterium
Lineage: Bacteria; Bacillati; Actinomycetota; Actinomycetes
Description: bacterial SSU rRNA
Rfam family: Bacterial small subunit ribosomal RNA
Source: RNAcentral
GGCGGCGCGCUUAACACAUGCAAGUCGAGCGAGAACCAGGCCUUCGGGCCUGGGGAAAGCGGCGAACGGGUGAGUAACACGUGGGUAACCCACCCUUGGUACCGGGAUAGCCCGGGGAAACCCGGAUUAAUACCGGAUGGCCCAACAGCUCUUCGGGGCGGUUGGAAAAGGUAGCUUCGGCCUCCGACCAAGGACGGGCCCGCGGCGGAUUAGCUUGUUGGCGGGGUAACGGCCCACCAAGGCGACGAUCCGUAGCUGGUCUGAGAGGACGAUCAGCCACACUGGGACUGAGACACGGCCCAGACUCCUACGGGAGGCAGCAGUGGGGAAUCUUGCGCAAUGGGCGAAAGCCUGACGCAGCGACGCCGCGUGGGGGAAGAAGGCUUUCGGGUUGUAAACCCCUUUCAGGAAGGACGAAGCCACUCGGGUUAAUAGCCCAGAGGGUGACGGUACUUCCAGAAGAAGCCCCGGCUAACUACGUGCCAGCAGCCGCGGUAAUAC